AUUUUUCGUCAACAGCAGUUCACCUAGUGAGUGUUGAGACUCUGGGUCUGAGUGAAGCUGAGGGUAGAGGGAACACAGGGUUGGGGUAGUUUCUCUCUUUGGGCUGACAGGCUUUGUCACCCACACACAUCCAGAGGUGCCCACGAGUGUAUUCGGGGAGAAGCUUCGAGAACAAGUUGAAGAGCGACUGUCCUUCUAUGAGACUGGAGAGAUACCACGAAAGAAUCUGGAUGUCAUGAAGGAAGCAAUGGUUCAGGCAGAGGAAGCGGCUGCUGAGAUUACUAGGAAGCUGGAGAAACAGGAGAAGAAACGCUUAAAGAAGGAAAAGAAACGGCUGGCUGCACUUGCCCUCGCGUCUUCAGAAAACAGCAGUAGUACUCCAGAGGAGUGUGAGGAGACGAGUGAAAAACCCAAAAAGAAGAAAAAGCAAAAGCCCCAGGAGGUUCCUCAGGAGAAUGGAAUGGAAGACCCACCUAUCUCUUUCUCCAAACCCAAGAAAAAGAAAUCUUUCUCCAAGGAGGAGUUGAUGAGUAGCGAUCUUGAAGAGACCGCUGGCAGCACCAGUAUUCCCAAGAGGAAGAGGUCUACACCCGAGGAGGAAACAGUUAAUGACCCUGAAGAGGCAGGCCACAGAAGUGGCUCCAAGAAAAAGAGGAAAUUCUCCAAAGAGGAGCCGGUCAGUAGUGGGCCUGAAGAGGCGGCUGGCAAGAGCACCUCCAAGAAGAAGAAAAAGUUCCAUAAAGCAUCCCAGGAAGAUUAGAAUGCAAAUGGACAUUCUCUGGGAGGUGGGGCAUACCAUAGCCCAAGGUGACAUUUCCCACCCUGUGCCGUGUUCCCCAAUAAAAAUAAAUUCACAAGA
Molecule: small RNA, 859 nt
Filed under: Pan troglodytes (chimpanzee)
Lineage: Eukaryota; Metazoa; Chordata; Mammalia; Primates; Hominidae
Description: processed transcript
Rfam family: Small nucleolar RNA SNORD56 (bases 1-55)
Source: RNAcentral